Molecule: ribosomal RNA, 203 nt
Filed under: uncultured bacterium
Lineage: Bacteria
Description: partial 16S ribosomal RNA
Rfam family: Bacterial small subunit ribosomal RNA
Source: RNAcentral
AUUGCAGGCUGCAACCCGCCUGCAUGAAGUCGGAAUUGCUAGUAAUCGCGGAUUAGCAUGCCGCGGUGAAUACGUUCCCGGGCCUUGUACACACCGCCCGUCACACCAUGGGAGCCGGUAAUACCCGAAGUCAGUAGUCCAACCUCGUGAGGACGCUGCCGAAGGUAGGAUUGGCGACUGGGGUGAAGUCGUAACAAGGUACC